UUUCCGUAGGUGAACCUGCGGAAGGAUCAUUAGUGAAUAAACAAGUGCAGGUUGUGCUGGCCUUCUUGGGUAUGUGCACGCCUGCCAGCUUCAUUCCAUCUUCCCACCUGUGCACCCUGUGUAGAUUCUGUAUGCUAUUGUCAAGCCUUUAUUGUGCUUGGUUGAGAGGAGUUGCUUGUUUCACCAACAAGCUCUUCUUGGGCAUGCAGGUCUAUGUUUAUAUCAACACCAUAUGAAUGUUUUAGAAUGUGCUUUAGGCUUUUUGGCCUUUAAAUUAUAUACAACUUUCAACAACGGAUCUCUUGGCUCUC
This 311-nucleotide unclassified non-coding RNA is filed under the name plant metagenome. RNAcentral describes it as "partial contains small subunit ribosomal RNA, internal transcribed spacer 1, and 5.8S ribosomal RNA". The record is from RNAcentral.